CCUCUAAUUCUUAAAUGAGAAUAAAAAUAUAAUUCUAUUUUUCUCUCUCAAUUUUGAGCUCUCCUCCAGGGGGGUUAGUGUUGUAUUUAUAGCCCUCUAGGAAGCACCACAGCCCUCAAAUCAAAACCAACAUAAAUGUACGCUUCAGAUUACACCUCAAAGGCGAUGGAGGCAGGAUCCGCGAGGUGGAAGCUGAUUGGCUUCUGCCCCCGAGCGGUCGCCCGUGACAGGUGGGGCGCCCACCCCUACCCUAUGGCAGGUGGGCCCCACCUUUUAGAUGGUGUCUUCUCGAGUCUUAUAGAGUAUUUAGGAGUUGACGUUCGGGUCUUCUCUUUAUGUAAAUCUGACAUGUGGGCCUCCCUUUGUUAUACCCCCUGUAGAAACAGACAUUCACCAAAACUCAUGGUAAUUGUAAGUAAAAACCUUAAGUCUAUGGUGAUGUUUAGUUUUUAUCCCCUUUCUUCUCCUUGGUUGACAUAUAAUUUUUAUGGUUAAUAACCAUCAACAAACUCCCCCAAGCUUACCUUUUGCUCAUCCCUGAGCAAAUAGCUACAAAGGAUGGAUCAGGAGUUGCGACAAUGCUUUCAUGCUUUACAAUUACACUUGCUUUAAAUAAGAAUUCAUCCCUAGACUAGAGUGAACUAUCAUAACUUCAAACUUACUCAUGUUUCUUCCAACCAUGGGACUUUUACCUGUUCUUGGGUCUUGAGCAGUUGAAAGACAGUAUAGUUAAGUCAAGCAUUGUUGUCUCAUGCUUUGUUGUUCUACCUCUGUCCUGGAGUUUUUAUAAGAUUUUCAAAUAAAACUCAGAGUUCUUUAGUAUGACCCUUUCAAGUCUCUCAAUAUGUGGUAUUUUUGGAUCCUCUCUAAGGCAUUGAAAGGAGUGAUGCCUUCUCUGUUACUCUCAAGAUAUAUAGUAUUUGUGGCACAAGGCAUUUAUAUAGCCUUCACUCUCUCUCAUCCUAUAUCUAACAAAGCUUAUGUGGAGCUCAUAGGUGUGGAGAUAACUAAUGCAUUGGGUCUGAUCGAACCAUGGAUCCAAAUGAACUCACCACAUAACCAACCGGUUUGUGCAUGUGUGGUUUUAUAUGUGGAUGCUAAACUAGAGAAUAUUUGUGGAAGGAGAAGGGGUGCAAAAAUAAUUCUAAUGCUCCUUUACUUGAGAUGAUUUCUCUAACUUUGAACUUGAAAUUUUGAUAAUAAACUUGGGCUCAUAAAUCUUUCUUUUUCUUCUUUUUAUGGAUCUUUUGUCCAAUAAUUUUCUUGCAGCCCAACAGUUCUUUUUGUAACGAAAAUUUUGUAGAGGAAUAAAAGGUAAUACCUGGAGCCUUGAACUUGAGGUAAUUGGCUAGCAAAUGAGCAAGGGAAAUAUUUUUUAGUGUUCACUCUCAGUGUAGAGUGGAACAUUUUUGAAUAGGUGGAUAUGGGAUAUAUAUGUGGUGCGUACUUCCAGAGUAGAAGCAGCAAAGGGUGAACAUGAGUGUGCGUAAUACCGGGAUUAAUCACAUGAUGAGUUCCUAAGGGUCAACACACCUCGAGCAAAUACAAAGUCCUACAUAUAUGUGGAGGCUUCCUAUUCUAAAUAAAUAUGACUGUGGUAGGAAUUUUAUACUCUCUAUCAUAUAUAGAACUCAUCAAAAUAAAUCUUCAGAAUUUAGUAGCACUAGGAACAUAAUAAACAACAGCUCAGAGUAUAUCAUAUCAUGUCCAUCAAAUACCUAGACUUAGUUUAAGCAUAUGCUCCCACAGGUUUAAAGAUU
RNAcentral lists this long non-coding RNA (1760 nucleotides) under Sorghum bicolor (sorghum). Its description in RNAcentral is "long non-coding RNA (SBIC_LNC017065)". The record is from RNAcentral. Lineage: Eukaryota; Viridiplantae; Streptophyta; Magnoliopsida; Poales; Poaceae.